UACGUAGGGUGCAAGCGUUAAUCGGAAUUACUGGGAGUAAAGCGUGCGCAGGCGGUUUGGUAAGACAGAUGUGAAAUCCCCGGGCUUAACCUGGGAAUUGCAUUUGUGACUGCCCGGCUAGAGUGUGUCAGAGGGGGGUAGAAUUCCACGUGUAGCAGUGAAAUGCGUAGAGAUGUGGAGGAAUACCGAUGGCGAAGGCAGCCCCCUGGGAUAACACUGACGCUCAUGCACGAAAGCGUGGGGAGCAAACAGG
This 253-nucleotide ribosomal RNA is filed under the name uncultured bacterium. Its description in RNAcentral is "partial 16S ribosomal RNA". It matches the Rfam family "Bacterial small subunit ribosomal RNA", at positions 524 to 776 of the family's 1533-position model. The record is from RNAcentral.